Molecule: ribosomal RNA, 302 nt
Filed under: uncultured bacterium
Lineage: Bacteria
Description: partial 16S ribosomal RNA
Rfam family: Bacterial small subunit ribosomal RNA
Source: RNAcentral
GCAGUAGCCGCGGGAAUACAGAGGGUGCGAGCGUUAAUCGGAUUUACUGGGCGUAAAGCGUGCGUAGGCGGCUUUUUAAGUCGGAUGUGAAAUCCCUGAGCUUAACUUAGGAAUUGCAUUCGAUACUGGGAAGCUAGAGUAUGGGAGAGGAUGGUAGAAUUCCAGGUGUAGCGGUGAAAUGCGUAGAGAUCUGGAGGAAUACCGAUGGCGAAGGCAGCCAUCUGGCCUAAUACUGACGCUGAGGUACAAAAGCAUGGGGAGCAAACAGGAUUAGAUACCCGAGUAGUCCCUGUCUCUUAUAC